GUAGGGAAUAUUGGUCAAUGGGCGGGAGCCUGAACCAGCCAAGUCGCGUGAAGGAAGAAGGAUCUAUGGUUCGUAAACUUCUUUUGCAGGGGAAUAAAGUGCAGGACGUGUCCUGUUUUGUAUGUACCCUGAGAAUAAGGAUCGGCUAACUCCGUGCCAGCAGCCGCGGUAAUACGGAGGAUCCGAGCGUUAUCCGGAUUUAUUGGGUUUAAAGGGUGCGUAGGUGGUUUGAUAAGUCAGCGGUGAAAGUUUGCAGCUUAACUGUAAAAAUGCCGUUGAAACUGUCGGACUUGAGUGUAAAUGAGGUAGGCGGAAUGCGUGGUGUAGCGGUGAAAUGCAUAGAUAUCACGCAGAACUCCGAUUGCGAAGGCAGCUUACUAAGCUACAACUGACACUGAAGCACGAAAGCGUGGGGAUCAAACAGGAUUAGAAACCCGGGUAGUCC
Molecule: ribosomal RNA, 445 nt
Filed under: uncultured bacterium
Lineage: Bacteria
Description: partial 16S ribosomal RNA
Rfam family: Bacterial small subunit ribosomal RNA
Source: RNAcentral